Molecule: transfer RNA, 27 nt
Filed under: Poa supina
Lineage: Eukaryota; Viridiplantae; Streptophyta; Magnoliopsida; Poales; Poaceae
Description: partial tRNA-Thr
Source: RNAcentral
UGCUCUAACCCUCUGAGCUAAGUGGGC